GAGGUGGUGGCUCAGUGGUUAAAGCUGUAGGCUACUGAUCAGAAGGUUUGGAGUUCAAGCCCUGACACUGCU
Pangasianodon gigas (Mekong giant catfish) is the source of this 72-nucleotide non-coding RNA. NCBI's taxonomy places the organism in Eukaryota, Metazoa, Chordata, Actinopteri, Siluriformes, Pangasiidae. The record is from the annotation of a GenBank genome assembly.